UACGGGGGGAGCAAGCGUUGUUCGGCUUUACUGGGCGUAAAGGGCGCGUAGGCGGUCAGCACAAGUCAGUUGUGAAAUCUCCGGGCUUAACCCGGAAAGGUCAACUGAUACUGUGCGACUAGAGUGCGGAAGGGGCAACUGGAAUUCUCGGUGUAGCGGUGAAAUGCGUAGAUAUCGAGAGGAACACCUGCGGCGAAGGCGGGUUGCUGGGCCGACACUGACGCUGAUGCGCGAAAGCCAGGGGAGCGAACGGG
RNAcentral lists this ribosomal RNA (254 nucleotides) under uncultured bacterium. Its description in RNAcentral is "partial 16S ribosomal RNA". It matches the Rfam family "Bacterial small subunit ribosomal RNA", at positions 524 to 776 of the family's 1533-position model. The record is from RNAcentral.